Molecule: long non-coding RNA, 1026 nt
Organism: Drosophila miranda
Lineage: Eukaryota; Metazoa; Arthropoda; Insecta; Diptera; Drosophilidae
Exons: 3
Source: RefSeq, a predicted model, not a curated record
GAUGAUGCCAUCUGCGGAUCUGCGGAUCGAAGAGCUCAAAGCAGAGCUUAUCUUAUCUCUUAGCGGGAGGAGAGAUCACCCUCUGGGUUCUCCCUCCCGACUGUUUCAAUGUCAAGUUCAGAGCUGACAAGAAUUUCAGAUCUUUGGUACUGAACGCUUCGAUUAUAAAUAUAUUUAAUGAUAUUUUCGGUUUCUAUUUAGUCGAUCGCACAGUUCCAAAAAGUUAUAAACAAAAAUAAACGACCUUGCGCCGCUCACCGAACAGAUACUAUAUCUUCCAUUGGAUCGAAUGGACACGGACACGAGGUCCAUUUAGUUGGAUGUAUUUAUUAUUGUUUUCCUCAGCUAUGCUAUACAUGAUUUCAUUGCUAAUGUUUGAAUGCCUAUUCCAUCGAGUUAUUUAUAGUCGGGGCCCGCUCCGAUCCGCACGCGGACAGUACGGUUGGGCCAGUGUUCUUGAGUUGAAUGAAUUCGUAUGCAAGGCGGCAUUGAGAAAUGUGGAUACACACGCUACAUGGGAUUGGGGCGUAUAUAAAUGAAUCCGUCAAAGUCAUCUUGGGCCCAACGAUACACCGAUGAGUUUCACUGACACGGACGUGGACACGGACACAGCACGGACACGGACACCGCCUCGCCUCGCUCCCGUGGCCAAACGACAGCGUCCCGCUGUGAUUGUCAAAGGAUGCGGGCAGGAAAAUAAUUAAAAAUUCAAUUUACAUGCAUUUUAGCCCCGCAAAAUGUGAGACUACACAAUUAUAUAGAAUACUGCAUCAACUGCCCGCCCACCCCUCGCUCACUGUCUAUAUAUGCAUAUAUAUGCUUAGCUUAGCGUGUGCCUUAAUGGUAUUGAAAUCAACAUGUCGGCUGUGGAUCCUAAAUAUAUUCAAAUUGUGCUCUGGCGCAGCGGACAAAUGCAUUAGAGAUGCAGGCAGUCGAGGCAAAAACACUUUCCUUAUGCAUGCUCAGAUCCUGAAGCUCAUAUUCUAGUCCGUAUCCCGGAAAUAAUUAAUGAGUUCUGUAAUAAAA